This 265-nucleotide long non-coding RNA is filed under the name Pan troglodytes (chimpanzee). Its description in RNAcentral is "long non-coding RNA NONPTRT014679". The record is from RNAcentral. Lineage: Eukaryota; Metazoa; Chordata; Mammalia; Primates; Hominidae.
UGAAGGCCUGAGAACCAGGGAAGCCAGGGGUGGAAAUUCCAAUAGAAAGGUUUGAUAUCUACAUGCAAUUGCUGAUUCCUGUUAGGGUUGCCUCUGCCUCUGGACCUCUUGAUGGGACAGUUCGUGGAGUAGUUUUAUUAUUGAGGGUACUAUUUGUUUAUGCCAUAUUAUUUUUUGUUUGUCUCUGAUUUGUUUUAACAUCAGCGAUGUGGCAAUGAGGGUACUGUCUUCAAAUUCUUGAUUGCUUAUGCAGUUACAUGUUUUU